RNAcentral lists this ribosomal RNA (427 nucleotides) under Pseudomonas sp. RNAcentral's name for it is "partial 16S ribosomal RNA". It matches the Rfam family "Bacterial small subunit ribosomal RNA", at positions 355 to 774 of the family's 1533-position model. RNAcentral also lists the same sequence under 1 other name. The record is from RNAcentral. Lineage: Bacteria; Pseudomonadati; Pseudomonadota; Gammaproteobacteria; Pseudomonadales; Pseudomonadaceae.
UGGGGAAUAUUGGACAAUGGGCGAAAGCCUGAUCCAGCCAUGCCGCGUGUGUGAAGAAGGUCUUCGGAUUGUAAAGCACUUUAAGUUGGGAGGAAGGGCAGUUACCUAAUACGUGAUUGUUUUGACGUUACCGACAGAAUAAGCACCGGCUAACUCUGUGCCAGCAGCCGCGGUAAUACAGAGGGUGCAAGCGUUAAUCGGAAUUACUGGGCGUAAAGCGCGCGUAGGUGGUGUGUUAAGUUGGAUGUGAAAUCCCCGGGCUCAACCUGGGAACUGCAUUCAAAACUGACUGACUAGAGUAUGGUAGAGGGUGGUGGAAUUUCCUGUGUAGCGGUGAAAUGCGUAGAUAUAGGAAGGAACACCAGUGGCGAAGGCGACCACCUGGACUAAUACUGACACUGAGGUGCGAAAGCGUGGGGAGCAAACA